This 253-nucleotide ribosomal RNA is filed under the name uncultured bacterium. Its description in RNAcentral is "partial 16S ribosomal RNA". It matches the Rfam family "Bacterial small subunit ribosomal RNA", at positions 524 to 776 of the family's 1533-position model. The record is from RNAcentral.
UACAGGGGGUGCAAACGUUGCUCGGAAUCAUUGGGCGUAAAGCGCACGUAGGCGGUCUGUUAUGUCGGAUGUGAAAGCCCUUGGCUCAACUGAGGAAGUGCAUCUGAAACUGGCGAGCUAGAGUAUGUAAGAGGGUCGCGGAAUUCCCGGUGUAGAGGUGAAAUUCGUAGAUAUCGGGAGGAACACCGGUGGCGAAGGCGGCGACCUGGGACAAUACUGACGCUGAGGUGCGAAAGCGUGGGGAGCAAACAGG